AGGUUGAUAGGUCAGAGGUGGAAGCGUGGCGACAUGUGGAGCUGACUGAUACUAAUCGAUCGAGGACUUAACCAAG
RNAcentral lists this ribosomal RNA (76 nucleotides) under Cytobacillus firmus. Its description in RNAcentral is "partial 23S ribosomal RNA". Lineage: Bacteria; Bacillati; Bacillota; Bacilli; Caryophanales; Bacillaceae. The record is from RNAcentral.